This 870-nucleotide ribosomal RNA is filed under the name Triticum aestivum (bread wheat). RNAcentral describes it as "partial small subunit ribosomal RNA". The record is from RNAcentral. Lineage: Eukaryota; Viridiplantae; Streptophyta; Magnoliopsida; Poales; Poaceae.
AUGGCAAACUUUCUUGAUGCUGUAUUCACACGAGAGGAGGUGAAGGCAGCUCUAGACCACAUCGGCGAUCUUAAAGCUCCGGGGCCUGACGGCAUGCCUUCUAUUGUGUUCAAGCGUCAUUGGCAUUUCAUGGGGGAUUAUGUGGUUGACGAGGUCUUGGCCGUGCUUAAUGGAGGGGACAUGCCGGCAGGGUGGAAUGACACAUUGGUAGUUCUUAUUCCCAAGGUCAGGAACCCGAACAGAAUCAAGGACCUAAGACCAAUCAGCCUCUGUAAUGUUUUGUACAAGUUGGUGUCCAAGGUUCUUGCAAAUAGACUAAAAGUGAUCUUGCCGGAAGUUAUCUCUGAAAAUCAAAGUGCAUUCUUUCCUGGACGGCUAAUCACGGAUAAUGUGCUCAUUGCCUUUGAGGUCUCGCACUAUCUCAGGAACAAGAAGCAUGGCCGAGAAGGAGUUGCAGCAGUGAAAGCGGAUAUGAGUAAGGCCUAUGACCGAGUAGAGUGGACAUUCCUUGAAGCCAUGCUAAGAAAACUGGGAUUUAGGAGAAGAUGGGUGACCCUGAUAAUGAAAUGUGUAACCACUGUGAGGUACCAGGUUAAAGUUAAUGGCGCCCUAACGCAGCAGUUCAGUCCAUCUCGAGGAUUAAGACAAGGGGAUCCGCUUUCCCCUUACCUGUUCGUGAUCUGUGCUGAAGGGUUGUCAGCGUUGUUACACGAGGCCGAGGAGACGGGGAAGGUUAGUGGUGUCCAGAUUUGCCGAGCUGCACCAACUGUUUCACAUCUGUUCUUUGCAGAUGAUUCCAUGAUUUUGCUAAAGGCAACACAACAGGAAGCCACGACCCUUCGAGAUAUCCUUGAUCUUUAUGAAAAUUGA